This is an RNA transcript of Athalia rosae (coleseed sawfly), 6247 nucleotides long. It is a transcript of the gene named ammonium transporter Rh type B, with no coding region annotated. NCBI's taxonomy places the organism in Eukaryota, Metazoa, Arthropoda, Insecta, Hymenoptera, Athaliidae. The transcript has 7 exons. The record is from RefSeq and is a predicted model, not a curated record.
ACUUUAGUUCAAGUUGCAUUUUAGAUGCGACAGGCUCAACAUCACUUAAGGGUUUUGGCCUGUAUGAAUUGUUGUAUCUUGUGAUUGAGAAAUUCAGCAAUACCAUAGGUUAAAUAGUGCAAGUUGUGAAUUACAACAAAAUCUAUCGUACAGAAAAAAAUUAAGAAAGUUGUCCUCCUCUCACCCCUUUAGCGUCAACCCUCAGCAGCCGACGAGACGCGAACCGGCACGGAAUAUCCCCGUAGCGUUAAACAGCGGACUGUAUCAAAUUUGACAAUGAGGCUUCCGGUUUCGCAUAUCUCUUUACUUCUAAUACUGGCGUUGGUGCCGUCGAUACUGACGGCGUCCACGAGAGCUCGAAGUAAAAAGAAGACCAAAGACACGAAGGAAAAAGUGGUGAACAUCUGCGACAUCGAGGAGCAAGGAUCGCCAUUUUUUUGUUACUGCGACUCGAACCAGUUGAGAAAUGCAACGAACGCAAACUGUUGGGUAUUCAGUAACAUAGAACCGGAGAUGCCGAUAUGGAGUGAUUUUAGCUCGCAGCCGAAUCUACGAAAGUUAACGUUCACCGUCAGAACCGGCGGUACUUUUACUCACAUUCCAACAACGGUAUUAAAGCAAUUCAAAGAUUUAGAGGUAAUCGAAAUUCAGUACGCCGUAAUAAAUGUACUGAUGGGACGAGCGUUUUCAAACCUAUCGUCCGUCGUUGAGAUAAAUCUGAACAGAAACGGCAUAGUGAAUAUUUCGAAAUACGCCUUCGAGAACAUGAAAAAUCUGACCCACAUCAAUCUCGACGAGAAUCGCAUUGCCGAGAUAAACAGAGACGUGUUCGUGAAUCUGCCGAAUUUGAAGAAGCUUUUCAUAGCCAGGAAUAACCUGACACUCGUACAUGACAAAGCGUUCAAGCAUCUAACUUCACUUCAAGAGUUGGACCUGAGUGGAAAUCAAAUAUCCGUCGUUACGAGGGACACCUUUUACGGUUUGAAAAGUCUAUUGCGGUUGGACUUGAGAGGCAAUAAUCUGGCGAUGAUCGGUGAUAAAACAUUCGCCGAAAUGCCCGAACUCGACGACAUGAAUCUCGAUCAAAAUCAAAUUGAAUUUAUAUCGGAGAAAGCACUCGACGGUAUGAGGAACCUCCGCAAGCUGAGGCUCAGUGACAAUAAACUCGUUACUCUGGAACCAGAUUUUCUCGCCGGCGCUCCGAACAUCUACCUCAUCGACCUCAGGGACAACCAGCUCAAGACGAUGACCUUCGACAACAUAAAACCCAUCGUUACCAACCUCUACAACAAUUCCAGCUACCUCUACCUGGACGGUAACAAACUGAACUGCGAUUGCAGACUCGCUUGGAUAUGGGGAUUGAGAAAUGAAACUAACAACACGAGGCUCAGAGAAUCGUUGGAGGAAUUGACCUGUUUUCUGGAAAUUACUAACUCUACUCUGGAGACGACCGACAGUGCGGAAAGGGAAAGCCAAGCCCUGGCUUUGGAAGGCAGCGAGAAUCUAGAGGAUUACGUGGCGGAUAGAAAUGGCGACGAUUUAACAGGUGACGAAUACGCGCAGGAUGAUGAAUAUUAUCAGGAGUACGACGAAAACUUGGGAGACACGCAAUCGGGUGCCAAUUCUCAAUCAAUGAUGGAAGUUGUGCAGGAGGGAAAGACUGGUUACGUAAGGCAUCUAUUUCAACUGAAACUUGAAGAAUUGCCUUGUCCGGACCGACAGGAUUUAAUGGCGUCUGAAGAGCCUCUGAGUCGCCAGGAAGCGACACUAGUCGGUUCUUCGGGUUCUAUAUUUUCCGAUUCGUCGGCAGAAAUUAAAUAUCUCAAUUUCUACACCCUACUCAUCGUUACCAUCACGAAUCUUGCGUUAUUAUUCACGUAGAAUUACCGCGGGCGAUGUAUAAUAAUUUAAUUUUAGUUAACAAUCCCUCUAAAAAAAAAACACAAAAUAAAAAACAUCUCAACGCAAAGCGUGCACACUGCUGCAUCUGCAAUGAUAUGUGUACUCGUCGCAACAAACAAAUCCGAUAAAAUUCCGUCAUAUUUUUGCAUAUUUGAUUUGGCAGACAUGUGAAAAAGAAUAAAUAAAUAAAUAAAAAAUUCACCCGAUACCGUUCGGAGGGAAUUUUUUUGAAUAAUUUACCGGGAUACAUACCCCUGUGGGCGUUUAAUUAGAGGGUACGCUCGAAAUCCUCCAUCAAUUUUUCUACACAUAUGAGGGCAAAAGAUAAAUAGGUGUAUACCAUAUUGUAUAUACCUAUUAGAAAAAGAGAGGAAACAGAGAAAAAAAAACCGAAGAAAGCUAAAAUUGACGGACGUUGCAAGUAUGUGAAGAAACAUGAGACUGUAAAUGAUUGGACACUGGCUCGUACAAGAUUAGUGGUAUGACCUAUUAUCAAAAUGUAUCAUUGAUUUUUUCAAAUUUCAUCAAAUUAUCAAUUAAACACCCUCGAUGUCGAAUUCAGAAUAUAUGAGUACGAUCAAGAGUUUCGGUAUUUCAGGUACGAUAAUUAUGUUGAAAUAUGAAUAUCUUUAUAAACGAGGGGUUCGCAUACAUACGUUAUAACUUAUUUUAUCAAAUAAUAAUAUUAAAUAAAGAGAUUAAAAAAAACUUCAAACCGCGCAUCGCUCUUCAGAUCCAUACACAAAUACACAUAUUUAACGAUAAUACGUAUAACAAGAAUAAUAAUAAUAAUAAUAAUAAUCAUGAUUAUUACACUAUAUCGCCGUGUUAUGACGGCGAUUCGUUACUUAAUAGAAUCAUGAAUAAAAAAAAUAAAUAAAUGAAUAAAUGAAAUUAGAAAAAGUUGAUAAAAAUAUAAUGAAACGUUUGACAAAAAGCAAAAGAAAAAAAAAAACAAACUAAACGAACAAAUAACUUCUCUAACGUAGCUGCUGUUUUAAAAAUAUUAUAGUUAACGUAUAAAUCGAAAGAGAGAAAAAGAAAAAAACACAUUUCGAUUCAGACCUAUCUACGUGUAUAAUUCAAGAGAGGUGGAUGAGUAGUAUUUAAAGAAUAAGACGGAUUUACCAUUGUAUUAUAAUACCAAAAAUAUUACGCUCUGCUACACGAAGUAAGCAUUUUUGCUUUUACUGCCGUAAUUUUAGUCUCGCUAUAUCUAUAUAGGUAUUAUUUAUACGUAAAGGAGAACAAUUCUUAAAUAUACAUUAUAAUGUAACGAUACCGAAUCAAUCAUCCGAUCGUUGAAUUGAACAGAGCUAAACAUACAAAGCGCGGAUUCAUCGGGAGAUCCGACGUGAAAAAAAAUGAUAGAAGAAGAAAAAAAAAAAUCACUAUUACAUUAAUUAGCAGAAAAUAAAAUACGAUACCUAUAAAAAGUAUACCAUUUAUUAAAAUGUUUAUAUUUUUUCAUCGACAUCACCCCAAUCAUCAUUAUCUUCACUAUAUGUGUAGGUAUAUAUAUAUAUAUAUAGUAUAACAAAAACAUAUUUAUACAAUUAUAGUAUAAUAGGUAUAGUGUAUAAAAUUUACAACGAGAUGAAAAAUAUUCUCGUUGUAAUAAUCACAGCGUGGCUACAUAAUCAAGAGAAAAGGGAAAUAAAUAAAAUGAAAACACCUGAAAUUAAAUACUGACUCGAUACCUUUCAAUCGUAUUGAACAAUCGCGUGGUAAAAGAGAGCAAAAAAAAAUUGGACUGAAAGAAGAAAAAACUAAAUUCAAUUAAAGUGUGAAAGAAAAAUCGCGCCCCAAUUUUCACGCCCUCUACAUAUUGUUAUAUCAGGUGUAGGUAUGUUCGAAAUUCACUCUACGCCACCCACAUGUAGGUAUAGACUCGUGUAUUCAAUCUUCGUUUCUCUGGACGAACAUUUUUUUUUUAUCCUAUUCUUCUAUUCUCCUUUCUCUCUUCUUCUAAUCAUGAUUAAUCACUACACAGUAUCCAAUCGUUCGCAGGCAGAUUCAUUAGAAUUUCGAUAUAAUACCGUGGAAAAUCUGAAGGGAGUAUGAAAGUGUAAGACGAGGGCUUGUCAGAGGGGGAGGGGUUCCGAACAAACGGUGUAAUGGAUGUAAUAUGUUUAAAAUGAUUAUAUGACAUAGGAAUAAAUGAUAAAAACGACUAUUAGCGUAUAAGCAAUGCUUUUUGUGUGUGGUUGCAAUCUAUAUUAAUAAUAUAAAAGAAAAAGAAAGGAAAAUGGAGAAAGAGUUUCCUUUUUUUUUAUCGAUCAAGUCCAAAGUAUAGAAAAAGAAUAAUUAAAGUGCUUCAUCGGGUUACAUCAAAUCAAUCGACAUGGUAGAUUCAUUUUAUAAACGUCCUUUUCAUCGGUAUUUCAUCACAUUCGUAGAUUUUUUUUUUUUUUCUCUUAUUGCAAUUACGACGUUUGGUGGCUGAUGUGAAAAUUAAUAUUCUGUAAUAGCACCUAUAUUUUAUUAUAUUUUGCUAAAAAAAAAUUUUACGAAACGUGUAUAACAAAAUAGGUAUAUAUAUAUAUAUAUGUAAUGUAUGAUUUGAAAAAUAAUUUUAAGUAAAUAUCAUCUAUGGAUAUACAUGGAAAUGAUAAUACUUAUAUGUAAACCGAAGUUGUAAUAUGUAUUAUAUGUUCUUUUAUAAGGAUUAGCAAUAAUAAUGAUAUUAUUAAAUAAAAUUAAUAAUAAUGAUACGGAUGAUAACGAUAGUAAUUAUAAUAUAAAAUUAAUAAACAAAAUUAAACGAAAAAAAACCACAACGACAACGCUCUGUUCUUCCGCUCUGAAAAGUUUUUUUAUUCAACUUUUUUCUUUAUUUUUUCAAAGUUUCCCCGCAGCCACAAGGCACUUUGCAAAGUGGCGACAUAAGUAACGCUUACUUUACUCCCUCGAGAACACCACGUGCACGUACACACGUAUGUGUACGUAUAUUUACAUGAAGUACAGUAAUACGGAUUGCGCGAUUCUUGGUUCCGGGGAUGGAGCAGCGUUGAGGCAACUUUGAAAAAUUGAAGAAAUAAAGAUAGCGAUGCCGGAAGUAUGAACUACGACGCAAAAAUGGGUCGAGAAAAAUGAAGUGCACGCGACUCACGUACACUCGAACCGCAACUUUUAUCCAAAUUUUGAAAUUUUUAUGAAAUUUGGCCGGACUAGGAAAGCGGGAGAAAAGUGUAAAGCAAACUUUUCCCACCGUACACGCUGCCGCGGUAGUAUCGGUAAUUUGAAACGCAUACAGACCUGUAUUAUUUGCGCACCCCAACCGCUCGCUGUUGCUCCAACAAUAGUUUAUAUGGUUUAAUCAAGUUUCCGAAGUCUGAAGUACCCGUGAGGAACGAGGAGCAAUCAAUUUCGCACCUCGACGACGUACCGAGCUGUACGAACGAGCUGUAGGAUGUAAACCUCGUCGAAGCACAACGCGAAAUGACUAAAUAUUGGACACUGUUUCUCGGCAUAAGUGACGAUAUGUAAGCUUCGGCGUCACCGGGGGAGGGGCCGCUGAUCGCGAACUCGAAGAUCAUAAUUAACCGUUUACUCGAUUUCCGACGUAAACUGACGCCGACUUUGCAGCUUCGUUUGUUGGAUAUUCAUUAAAUUUUUUUCUGCUCUUUUAUUCUGAAAUCCUGCUGCGAAUGGUUACUCGUUCGCAAUUAACUGGCAAUUAUAUUAUCCGAAGAUAUUUCGCGCGAAACAAAACGACGCAAUAAAAGCGAAUGACGGUAAGCUCUUGUUAUUCCGAUCAGAGCUAUUGCAGCCAGCCGAUACAUAGAUAUACGAUCAAUUUUUGACAAUAAUUUACGAAACGUUUACGUCACAAUACAUUUAUUGUACAUACGUCGCGUGUGUCAAAAAUGAAUAUCGCGAGCUCACAACUAAACGUCGCGUAUAUGCGUGACGUACGUACGAACUUGUUCACAAGGAGGUAUAAUGGGUUUACUCCGCAUUUGAAACCUCGUUAAAUAACUUUGAUCGUGCACAUCGGGUUUGUUUUCUUUUUCUAUUUGUACCUAAUUUAGUGGAGAACACAUCUGCCGUCUCGACGUUGUAAAUAGAUGGAAUCACAUUCAGACCUCCUACAACCAGCGACAGAUGAAGAAGACCUCUCCGACAUAUCUUACAUUAUAGUUGUAAUUUAAUUUUUUAUCUGAUUUCAUUUAUUUUUUCAUUUUUUUCCACUCAUUUUUCUACCGACUUUGUUUCACACGAGGCAUACGUAUACCCCGAGAGGGUACAGGCGCGGCAGCAAAGUACGAGCAAAAACUCGCCACCCUUAACGAAUCGUACGUUCGUAUAAUCAAUGAUAAAAUUAGUGGUGAAUUAAAAUUAA